AGAAUAGAAGUUGUGGCUAUUUUGCAAACAGUCUGGUAGGCGGAGCAACGUGCUCAAACAUCAUGCCCUUCUACUGUUACUUAUUCCCAACACAACAGCAGGUCAUGAAAGUGAAGGUCAAGUCAAGUGAGAAUGUAAAUGAUCCUGCAAUAAUGGCAGCCAUCUUGGAGAAGAUCCAGCAGAAACUGGAGGGUGAUGGAACUAGGAACAUCACUGUGAAAUGGAGAGAGCAACCAGAUGGAGUAGUGUUUCACAAGAAGAAUAAAAAUGACCCUGCAAUGUGAAUAACAGUAAUCUUAUGAGUUAAAAAUCUGAAAUAGUAUAUAUUUUGUCAUUUCUAAUUACUUUUAAGUUGAGGACAAAGUGUGCGUGUAAUAUUUAAUCUUUCCUAAAUUGUAUUUUAACAAGCCAAGAAUUGGAGUAGGUCUCAGGACCAAAUAUCAACAUCUAAAAUUUAAAAGGAAUACAAAAUACUAGAUACAAAAACAACACAUUCUCUUAAGGCAUGAAUGUCCUCAUACGAGGAUAUGAUUUUUCUUCCCAGCAAUGUUAUGUGUAUAUCCUUGUGCGAUCGAUAUACGAGGACUGUUGUGUAUAAUUAUGUGACCAAUUUCUUUCCUGUUUAAGGACAUUAAUUACAUAGGAAUCGUGUGUAAAUAAGGGGAAACAAUGAGAAGAAAUUACAGUGUAAGCCACAAUACAGUCCGGUCCCACAAGGAUAGCAUUAAGACAAGAACCUAACCACAUUAUUACAAAAUGAGGUCUUUCCUUCAAUAAUAGGAAAAACAUAUUUUCCAUUGUUUUAACACUUUAUAUUAACACUAAUCUCUCUGCAUAUAAACACUAUAACAAAACCUCUUAACCUCGUGGCCAAUAGAAAGACAUUAAUAACUUGCUUUUCUUUGUUGUAAGAUUAGCUAGUUUCAUAUUGUUUAGCUAUUCUACUUUUUACAUUUAAUUUGGUUAGAUUGGUGUUUUGG
This is a long non-coding RNA of Clarias gariepinus (North African catfish), 980 nucleotides long. RefSeq lists it as uncharacterized. The record is from RefSeq and is a predicted model, not a curated record. NCBI's taxonomy places the organism in Eukaryota, Metazoa, Chordata, Actinopteri, Siluriformes, Clariidae. The transcript is spliced from 3 exons.